This 795-nucleotide ribosomal RNA is filed under the name uncultured bacterium. RNAcentral's name for it is "bacterial SSU rRNA". It matches the Rfam family "Bacterial small subunit ribosomal RNA", at positions 8 to 796 of the family's 1533-position model. The record is from RNAcentral.
AGAGUUUGAUCCUGGCUCAGAUUGAACGCUGGCGGCAGGCCUAACACAUGCAAGUCGAGCGGCAGCACGGGUACUUGUACCUGGUGGCGAGCGGCGGACGGGUGAGUAAUGCCUAGGAAUCUGCCUGGUAGUGGGGGAUAACGCUCGGAAACGGACGCUAAUACCGCAUACGUCCUACGGGAGAAAGCAGGGGACCUUCGGGCCUUGCGCUAUCAGAUGAGCCUAGGUCGGAUUAGCUAGUUGGUGAGGUAAUGGCUCACCAAGGCGACGAUCCGUAACUGGUCUGAGAGGAUGAUCAGUCACACUGGAACUGAGACACGGUCCAGACUCCUACGGGAGGCAGCAGUGGGGAAUAUUGGACAAUGGGCGAAAGCCUGAUCCAGCCAUGCCGCGUGUGUGAAGAAGGUCUUCGGAUUGUAAAGCACUUUAAGUUGGGAGGAAGGGUAGUAACCUAAUACGUUGCUGCUUUGACGUUACCGACAGAAUAAGCACCGGCUAACUUCGUGCCAGCAGCCGCGGUAAUACGAAGGGUGCAAGCGUUAAUCGGAAUUACUGGGCGUAAAGCGCGCGUAGGUGGUUCAGCAAGUUGGAUGUGAAAGCCCUGGGCUCAACCUGGGAACUGCAUCCAAAACUACUGAGCUAGAGUACGGUAGAGGGUAGUGGAAUUUCCUGUGUAGCGGUGAAAUGCGUAGAUAUAGGAAGGAACACCAGUGGCGAAGGCGACUACCUGGACUGAUACUGACACUGAGGUGCGAAAGCGUGGGGAGCAAACAGGAUUAGAUACCCUGGUAGUCC